UGUUUCUAGGGUGCCUUGUGAUUGAAGUGCUUGUAGUUAAUUACCUUACAGGUCUGCUAGUCACACAGUUGCAAACUGGUAUCAUCCAUCCAUAAACACCUCACCUGAACAUUCAUCAGUGAUAAGCUCCUCAGUUUUUCCAUGGUUUUCAGGUGAAGGGGAGGUUCCUUGUGGUUCUUCCUUGAUAAAGGUGGAAUCCAUUUCAGCCAUUGAUUCUACAAAUGAAAGGGUAGUUUGCUUUUGCGGUAUCAACGUCAAGCUAUGUUGGUCAACCAGUCAGCACAUGUUUUUGAGGGUUCCUCAUGUCAAUCCCAAAAGUGCUUGCUACAUGACAUAUCUGUAAGCAAGUUUGACUUUGGAGCAGAAAGUCGCCCUCAUCCGCCAAGUAGAAAAGGAUGAAGAUUCGAAAUGUGACAUUGCCAAGACUUCAAUACUUUACGCUCUCAACCAUACUGAAGUAGAAGCACGGUAUACUGGACGGCUUCGAGAAAAGUUUGUCAAGCCAGAGACGCACAUCUGUGAUUCGAAACCCCCUGAUGUGGAGGCCACACUUUUGGAAUGCCCAAACAGAGCCUAAGCAUUGCACCGACUCAGACCUGUACAGGAGGGUUCACAAGCUCGUUGAAAAGGAAGCUGACGACGACUUCGAUUCUUUCAUGCUUGUGGAUGCGGACGAGCCCGCUGUGGUGCCACCACAGAUGGGCAUAUCUUCGAAGUUGUGUUGUGUGCAAAAAGUGAAAGCGAAGACUUGGAGGACGUUACUACGAGAAAUUCUGUCGAAGGCGGAGACCUGUAAUAUACUUAGUCUUUUGUGCGACAUAGUCUGAUGCGGUGGAGGUGAUUACGCCCUUAUGCAGGUCCUCAUGAAACUGGAAAACACGCUCUUGCUGCAGUCUGU
Long non-coding RNA from Ornithodoros turicata, 898 nucleotides. RefSeq lists it as uncharacterized. NCBI's taxonomy places the organism in Eukaryota, Metazoa, Arthropoda, Arachnida, Ixodida, Argasidae. The record is from RefSeq and is a predicted model, not a curated record. The transcript is spliced from 2 exons.